Molecule: ribosomal RNA, 253 nt
Filed under: uncultured bacterium
Lineage: Bacteria
Description: partial 16S ribosomal RNA
Rfam family: Bacterial small subunit ribosomal RNA
Source: RNAcentral
UACAGAGGGUGCAAGCGUUGUCCGGAAUUAUUGGGCGUAAAGAGCUCGUAGGCGGUUUGUUGCGUCGGCUGUGAAAUCCCGAGGCUCAACCUCGGGUCUGCAGUCGAUACGAGCAAACUAGAGUGUUGCAGGGGAGACUGGAAUUCCUGGUGUAGCGGUGAAAUGCGCAGAUAUCAGGAGGAACACCGGUGGCGAAGGCGGGUCUCUGGGCAACAACUGACGCUGAGGAGCGAAAGCGUGGGGAGCGAACAGG